AGCAGCCGCGGUAAUUCCAGCUCCAAUAGCGUAUAUUAAAGUUGUUGCAGUUAAAAGCUCGUAGUUGAAUUUCGGGAUCAAUACGUCGGUCGUGCUUCGGUACGUACUGGCGUAAUUGAUUUCUCCCUUCUGACGAACCAUGAUGUCAUUAACUUGGUGUCAUGGGAAAUCAGGACUGUUACUUUGAAAAAUUGAGUGUUUAAAGCAGGCUCACGCUUGAAUACAUUAGCAUGGAAUAAUGAAAUAGGACGUUCGAUCCUAUUUUGUUGGUUUUAGAUCAACGUAUGAUUAAUAGGGAUAGUUGGGGCAU
RNAcentral lists this ribosomal RNA (310 nucleotides) under uncultured Glomus. RNAcentral's name for it is "SSU rRNA". It matches the Rfam family "Eukaryotic small subunit ribosomal RNA", at positions 569 to 890 of the family's 1831-position model. The record is from RNAcentral. Lineage: Eukaryota; Fungi; Glomeromycota; Glomeromycetes; Glomerales; Glomeraceae.